UACAGAGGUCCCGAGCGUUGUUCGGAUUCACUGGGCGUAAAGGGUGCGUAGGUGGUAGGGUAAGUCGGAUGUGAAAUCUCGGAGCUUAACUCCGAAAUGGCAUUGGAAACUGCUCUGCUUGAGGGUUGGAGGGGGGACUGGAAUGCUUGGUGUAGCAGUGAAAUGCGUAGAUAUCAAGCGGAACACCAGUGGCGAAGGCGAGUCCCUGGACAACACCUGACACUGAGGCACGAAAGCUAGGGGAGCAAACAGG
RNAcentral lists this ribosomal RNA (253 nucleotides) under uncultured bacterium. Its description in RNAcentral is "partial 16S ribosomal RNA". It matches the Rfam family "Bacterial small subunit ribosomal RNA", at positions 524 to 776 of the family's 1533-position model. The record is from RNAcentral.